RNAcentral lists this ribosomal RNA (245 nucleotides) under uncultured bacterium. Its description in RNAcentral is "partial 16S ribosomal RNA". It matches the Rfam family "Bacterial small subunit ribosomal RNA", at positions 524 to 768 of the family's 1533-position model. The record is from RNAcentral.
UACGUAGGGGGCGAGCGUUGUUCGGAAUUACUGGGCGUAAAGGGCGUGUAGGUGGCCUUGCAAGUCAGGCGUGAAAUCCUUCGGCUUAACUGGAGAAGUGCGUUUGAUACUGCAGGGCUUGAGUGCGGGAGAGGAGAGUGGAAUUCCCGGUGGAGCGGUGAAAUGCGUAGAUAUCGGGAAGAACACCGGUGGCGAAGGCGGCUCUCUGGACCGCAACUGACACUGAGACGCGAAAGCUAGGGGAG